Molecule: ribosomal RNA, 686 nt
Filed under: uncultured bacterium
Lineage: Bacteria
Description: bacterial SSU rRNA
Rfam family: Bacterial small subunit ribosomal RNA
Source: RNAcentral
AUAAUCGUUGGAAACGACGACUAAUACCGCAUACGGUUCUUGGAAGGCAUCUUCUAAGAAAGAAAGGAUUUAUUCGGUAAAAGAUGGGCCCGCAUCUGAUUAGCUAGUUGGUGAGAUAAUAGCCCACCAAGGCAACGAUCAGUAGCCGACCUGAGAGGGUGACCGGCCACAUUGGGACUGAGACACGGCCCAAACUCCUACGGGAGGCAGCAGUGGGGAAUAUUGCACAAUGGGCGAAAGCCUGAUGCAGCAACGCCGCGUGAAGGAAGACGGUUUUCGGAUUGUAAACUUCUAUCAAUAGGGAAGAAAGAAAUGACGGUACCUAAAUAAGAAGCCCCGGCUAACUACGUGCCAGCAGCCGCGGUAAUACGUAGGGGGCAAGCGUUAUCCGGAAUUACUGGGUGUAAAGGGAGAGUAGGUGGCAAGGUAAGCGAUAUGUGAAAGCCUUAAGCUUAACUUAAGGAUUGCAUAACGAACUAUCUAGCUAGAGUACAGGAGAGGAAAGCGGAAUUCCUAGUGUAGCGGUGAAAUGCGUAGAUAUUAGGAAGAACACCAGUGGCGAAGGCGGCUUUCUGGACUGAAACUGACGCUGAGGCUCGAAAGCGUGGGGAGCGAACAGGAUUAGAUACCCUGGUAGUCCACGCUGUAAACGAUGAGUGCUAGGUGUCGGGGAGGAAUUCCCGGUG